This 726-nucleotide ribosomal RNA is filed under the name uncultured archaeon. Its description in RNAcentral is "bacterial SSU rRNA". It matches the Rfam family "Archaeal small subunit ribosomal RNA", at positions 53 to 780 of the family's 1478-position model. The record is from RNAcentral.
GCUAGUCGCACGAGUUUAGACUCGUGGCAUAUAGCUCAGUAACACGUGGCCAAACUACCCUACAGACCGCGAUAACCUCGGGAAACUGAGGCCAAUAGCGGAUACAACUCUUAUGCUGGAGUGCAGAGAGUUGGAAACGUUCCGGCGCUGUAGGAUGUGGCUGCGGCCGAUUAGGUAGACGGUGGGGUAACGGCCCACCGUGCCCGUAAUCGGUACAGGUUGUGACAGCAAGAGCCUGGAGACGGUAUCUGAGACAAGAUACCGGGCCCUACGGGGCGCAGCAGGCGCGAAACCUUUACACUGCACGAGAGUGCGAUAGGGGGACUCCGAGUGCGAGGGCAUAUAGCCCUCGCUUUUCUGAACCGUAAGGUGGUUCAGGAACAAGUGCUGGGCAAGACCGGUGCCAGCCGCCGCGGUAAUACCGGCAGCACGAGUGAUGGCCGAUAUUAUUGGGCCUAAAGCGUCCGUAGCUUGCUGUGUAAGUCCAUUGGGAAAUCCACGCGCUCAACGCGUGGGCGUCCGGUGGAAACUACACGGCUUGGGGCCGAGAGACUCGACGGGUACGUCCGGGGUAGGAGUGAAAUCCUGUAAUCCUGGACGGACCACCAAUGGGGAAACCACGUCGAGAGACCGGACCCGACAGUGAGGGACGAAAGCCAGGGUCUCGAACCGGAUUAGAUACCCGGGUAGUCCUGGCCGUAAACGAUGCUCGCUAGGUAUGUCACG